GUACGGGAGGCAGCAGUGGGGAAUCUUGGACAAUGGGCGCAAGCCUGAUCCAGCAAUGCCGCGUGUGUGAAGACGGCCUGCGGGUUGUAAAGCACUUUAGGUGGGGAAGAAGGGCCUUGGGCGAAUACCCUGAGGCGGUGACGUUACCCACGGAAUAAGCACCGGCUAACUCCGUGCCAGCAGCCGCGGUAAUACGGAGGGUGCGAGCGUUAAUCGGAAUUACUGGGCGUAAAGCGCGCGUAGGCGGUGGAGCGCGUCCUGUGUGAAAGCCCCGGGCUUAACCUGGGAAUGGCACGGGAGACGGCUCGACUGGAGUGUGACAGAGGACCGUGGAAUUCCCGGUGUAGCGGUGAAAUGCGUAGAGAUCGGGAAGAACACCGAUGGCGAAGGCAGCGGUCUGGGUCGACACUGACGCUGAGGGGCGAAAGCGUGGGGAGCAAACAGGAUUAGAUACCCUGGUAG
RNAcentral lists this ribosomal RNA (462 nucleotides) under uncultured bacterium. Its description in RNAcentral is "bacterial SSU rRNA". It matches the Rfam family "Bacterial small subunit ribosomal RNA", at positions 339 to 793 of the family's 1533-position model. The record is from RNAcentral.